GACGAACGCUGGCGGCGUGCUUAACACAUGCAAGUCGAGCGGUAAGGCCCCUUCGGGGGUACGACGAGCGGCGAACGGGUGAGUAACACGUGGGUGACCUGCCCUCAGCUCUGGGAUAAGCCUGGGAAACUGGGUCUAAUACCGGAUAUGACUCCAUGACGCAUGUCGUGGGGUGGGAAAGCCUUGUGCGGCUGGGGAGUGGGCCCGCGGCCUAUCAGCUUGUUGGUGGGGUGAUGGCCUACCAAGGCGACGACGGGUAGCCGGCCUGAGAGGGCGACCGGCCACACUGGGACUGAGACACGGCCCAGACUCCUACGGGAGGCAGCAGUGGGGAAUCUUGCGCAAUGGGCGAAAGCCUGACGCAGCGACGCCGCGUGAGGGAUGACGGCCU
Molecule: ribosomal RNA, 391 nt
Filed under: uncultured bacterium
Lineage: Bacteria
Description: bacterial SSU rRNA
Rfam family: Bacterial small subunit ribosomal RNA
Source: RNAcentral